Molecule: unclassified non-coding RNA, 253 nt
Filed under: uncultured Cyclobacteriaceae bacterium
Lineage: Bacteria; Pseudomonadati; Bacteroidota; Cytophagia; Cytophagales; Cyclobacteriaceae
Description: contains 16S-23S intergenic spacer region
Rfam family: Bacterial small subunit ribosomal RNA
Source: RNAcentral
UACGGAGGGUGCAAGCGUUGUCCGGAUUUAUUGGGUUUAAAGGGUGCGUAGGCGGCUUUUUAAGUCAGCGGUGAAAGUUUCAGGCUCAACCUGGAGACUGCCGUUGAUACUGAUGAGCUUGAGUUACGGAGGGGUACAUGGAAUUUAUGGUGUAGCGGUGAAAUGCAUAGAUACCAUAAGGAACACCGAUAGCGAAGGCAUUGUACCGGCCGUCGACUGACGCUGAGGCACGAAAGCGUGGGUAGCGAACAGG